CAGGCAGUCCCCCCAGACCGGGAGUAACACCGAUCGCCGGUGGGGGAAUGGCGGCGAUCGGGUAAAUAAUAUAUUUGCCGGAGAUACCUAGUAUGUAAUGUUUUUGUCAGGUGUACCUAGUACGUCCGCGGUCCUUAAGGAUUUAAAGGCACACUAUAAUCACCAAAACCACUAUUGCUUACUGUAGUGAUACUAGUGUCUCUAGCUUGUCCCUAAUACUAAGCACUGUAAACGCUGCCUUGUUACUCAGACCAUCAAUUGAGGUGCUUCCUAGUCCACUGCUGCACAUGGAGACACUAGCAUUACCCAUUGGGAUGCAUUGAUACAAUACAUCUCUAUAACAAAAUGCUGAUUGGUGUGGUGCUUAAACUGAACCAUAGUCCAGCACUUGCUCAUCAGAACAUAGUUAUGAAAAAAGCGGGUCCAGGCACUACAAUCCUUCAAGACACGUUUAUUGGAACCAAUAGAACAACACAAGCAACAUUUCGACCCAAAAAAAGCUUGACAAAGACCCCCUUUUGGGACCUACUUUUUUCAUAACCACACACAGACCCAGGCACCAUGGCCACUUCGAAGCAGUGAAGGGGUUAUGGUGUUUGGAGUAAAUUCACUCCUCAAGAAAUAGCAAAUUUCUUAAACUCCUUUCAUGCCAGAACUAAAUUACAACCGGAGCCGACAUUGCUCCAAAUUACAGAACAAGAAAUCACAUGGAUCAUUGCAUCCUUACUGGUCCAUAAAUCCUCAGGCCCAGAGUGUCUGUCAAGAACAUGCUAUAAGAAAUGCUCCUCCAAAUUGUCUCUGUAUCUUCUCACCAAGCAAACUCUUUCAAAGAAAUAUAUUUUGUAUACAAAUAUAAAAUAAAGCAAGACAAACAGUAACAAAUACGUAAUAAAUGUUUAUAAAUGUACUAUAAACUUGGUCAGAUUGUAUUGUUGGGCAUGCCUCUCAGCUAAUGGAGUUUCUUCAGACCCUCUUCCUUACCCACCCAUCUCAGGUUCAGACCUGUCCACUAAUGACAGAAAACUUGGCAUCAUUGUGCAAAAGCAACAAGAUCCUCAUUCUCCCUGCAGGGGCCACAGUGACUAGACUCCCUUUCUUUUCCCCCUGUCAAGUGUUGCAAGAUGAAGAGAUCUUCCAACUUCAUGUCUUCAUAUUGUUUCUUAAUUGCCAUGUCUAACUUAUGCUAAAUAUAUGACAAUUGUAUGAGCUCCUUCCAGUUCUUUUAAAAAAUGGUAGAGUUUAUAGAAUAAAAAGAGAAUGCUACGCAACACAAGAAAAUGUAUAGGCCUGUUCCAAAAUAUGCCAAUGUGAAGGAUCUACCGCUUAGCUUACAUGCAGAAUAUGCUUUGAUAGGUUGAACUAAAUUUAUAUAAAUGUCAUUCUUCAUAAACAUGCUAAACAUGCUUUAUCUGGUCAGAUAAUCUCCAAUAUUUUUUAUUGAAGUUACCAUCUGCCCAUGAUUACUAGGGAUGUACAUGGGCCAAAAAUUUGGUUCAGCAUUCCGAAAUUCAGGACUUUGGCAAUUCAGCACUUCGGCAAUUCGGUUCGGCACUUCCGAAAUUCGGGACUUCGGCAAUUCAGCACUUCGGCAAUUCGGCACUUCAGAAAUUCGGGACUUCGGAAAUUCGCCAAUUCAGCACUGUGGCCAUUUAGAAGCAUGCGAAUGUCAAAACUUCUGCUAUUCGGGCGAAUUUAAAUUCGGACCGAAACAAAUUGCACAUUUCUAAUGAUUACAAUGCAGGUUUCUUUUCUGAUAGUGUUCCUCUGGCUGCUCUACUUUUUGUAUUAUCCCUUGAACCCUUAAAAGGGAAACUAAUGACUCGCUGCAAUGUUACUGUAUUCAGAUAGGGGAAACCUCAUUUUUAUUUAAGGGACCCUCUAGGCACUGUGACCUCUUCAUCUUUUUGAAGUGUUCAUGAUGCCUGAAGUCCCCCAACACAGUCCUAUGGUUCAAUGUUAAAGGGGAACUGUCACUUUUUGUAAUUUAUACCAUUGAAUAAAACAUUGAAGGUCACCUAUAAUUCAUGUUAACCUUCUUUUCAUAAGAGAGUCUGUUUUCUUCUAAAUUUACUUGAAAGAUUUAGCAUAUUGUUUUGCAAUCCAGUUCAGACAAGGCAAAGCCAGGGAAAAUAAAGAGGAGAAAUAGAACUAUUGUUUCAAUUUCCCUGUUUACUGUAUGCUUUCUCUUUGCUGACUGCAAGGUGGAAAGGACAGAGCUUAGAGCAAUGAUUGACAGGGAGUCAAGGUGGAGUUUCCCAGAUGCAAGAUAUAGACAUGUAUGAUUUCUUCCAAACACAUAUUGUUGAAUAUAGGGAUAUAUAAAAACAAUAUAAAAAAUGCAAGGAAGGGACAGUUUCCCUGUACACUGUUUGAAGGUCCCUGGCUGCCACAUUUCUGCCACCUCUCUGCUUCUUGAGUCAAAGCUUCCUUAGUAGCCAUACAUCACUGGUAUGAGUUGAUAUGGCUAAGGCAUAGAGUGUGACUGUGGAUUAAUCAUACCUCUAGUUUGAGCCAGGCUAUGGGCAGCUGGGACUCUCAUUCAGUGUUUAAGUAUUUGAAAAAUGUCUGUAUGUGUGAGUCUGUGUGUAUGUAUCUACUUUAUGUCUGGGUAUCUGCAUGUCUGUACCUGUGUAUGUGUAUAUGUAUGUGUAUCAGUGUUUGCAUCUGUAUGUGUGUCAGUGCGUGAUUUUCUCUCAGUGAAAACUUAGUGUGACCCACGUAAAUUUCUGAUGAAGUGGCCCACUACAGAAAAAAACUUGGACACCUAUGUUAUAAUAUAUUGUUUAUCUAUUACCAAAGCUAUUCUAUAACACACUGUAAUUUACAACUGCUGAGUAUUCUUUUCAUGUAUAGCAGAUAAUCACCUUGGAUGGUGAUCUUGGAUGGAUUCAUGUCUUAGCAGGGAUAAAUCAGGCUUUUGUAAAGGAUAAAGUUCCUUUAUCUUUUUUUGAACACCUUGCCUCGCACAUUAUAUCACAGCAUGAAAAUACUCAAGCGAUGCCUAGGGCAGCACAAAACCAGGAUACACCACUGGAGGGAGCUCUGAUCUUACUGCUCAGCUCCCUCGCACAUCGCUUAAUGAUGCUGGGAGCCGGUCUGACGUCAUAUUCCAGCUCCCGGGUUCACUAAGCUGCAAGCCCGCAAUAGAAGCUGGGGCCCGCCUCGGGUGGGGCCCAAAAGUGGCCGGCCAGCUCUUGGGCCCCCCAGGACACGAGACUAACAAGGCAGUGCUGCCCAAGGCAAAUGCCUUGUUAACCUCACGGUGAAUACACCGCUGGGCACCCUACCAGUGACCUAUGGCCGCGUGCCCACAGAAAGGGCUCGGCAUGCCAGCUGUGGCAUGCGUGGCAAAGGUUCACCAUCACUGGUAUAAGCAAUUACAAAGACAUGUGUCCACAAAAAGGCAUAGUAAUCACCAGAUCACUGUAGGGUAAUGUUUAGACAAGGUCACUGUAAGAUUAGUCAAGCCACUUUUGUACUAAAAUAAAACACAUGGUAUGCCUUGAAUAACAAACUAGGCUAAAAAAUAGUGUUACUGGCAUAUUGAGGUUAAAAAGAAAUAACCAAUUGUAGUCGCUUAACUUCGACCUAAACAGCAAAAGAAAGCAAGGCAUGCAUGUCAUAACUUGAGUCAUUUUGCUAAAUUAUCAUACUGAAAAUGUGUCAUUAUUUUUGGUAACUUUUUUUCUUUGUGAAUGCUUUCAAAGUCAUUACACUCUUUUUUUCUUAAUUCUUAUCUACAGACACACAAAAGAGCAUUAGUGAACAUUUUAGACUACUUGGAGGAUUUCCACGAUUAUGUGAAAAAAUGCUACAACUGUUUAUUUUAUUUGAAACCUCUUUAAUUAUAUGAAAAUCCUAAUUAGACAUAAUGGUAGCUGUAAAUUGAACUAUCUCCACCUAAGCAAAGCAUGUCGGGCAGCUGUGUGUGUUCCAAACAGUUAAACAGUCAAACUGCUGCUUUCAGUAAACUCAGAGAACACAGCAGCUCACACCGCGGGAGCUAGGUAACACUGAAUGCAAAUACUAUUGAAUUCACUUUUGAUGUGGCCGGGAGUUAACAUAAAGGGACACUGUAGUCACCCAGACCACUUCAGCUAAUUGAAGUGGUCUGUGACUGUGCAGUGUCCCUAUUGCACUUAGUGCUGCAAAGUAAAACAUUAGUUCCAGAGAAACUGCAAUGUCUACAUCGCAACACUAAGUCUGGCUCCAGUGACUGUCUCCCAGACAACCACUAGAGGGAUUCCUGGAUCGAAACACACCUUUGGUCCAGUAUCUGUCCGUGAGUUUCUGUAUAUCUACAUUUGUAUCAGUGUGAGUGUAUCACAGUGUGUGUGUAUACAGCUCAGCAUUCAAACACCAACACUACAUACAAACACACUCCUGCAUUGAAAUGUUAAAACUAUAUACAAACACACCAAAAUUACAUAUAAACACACCCCUGCAUUCAAAAACAAACACUAUACAUAAAUGCAUACUUGCAUUCAAACGCCAACACCACACCCCUACAUUCACACAAACAUACUCCAUACAAAAACAUGCUUUACAUUCAUACACAUAAACACUGCUCAGUGCUAAAUACAAACUUGCAAGAAUGGGGGAAUGGUAGAGCCCCAGCUUUCAAAGCAUUGUUGGAGUUGCAUGACAGAUGGGGAUCUACCUUUUGGCCACCCUUGCGAUGGCGUAGUGCAAAAAAAGUCUUGCACCAUGGCCCUCUCUACUUUAGUUCUGCCAUUACGUUGCAGUGAAGGACAUGAUUGCAUGUCAGCGAGUGGGGAGGCAGGGUCCAGGAGGCCCAAGCAAAUGCUUGCCCAGGGUCCAACCAUUAUUAAAGACGGCCCUGCAUGUCAUAGCACCUAUUCUCUAAGGCCACUGUUAACAUAACUUUAAUAACAGGAAUUACCUUAGACUUCCACAAAUCUUCCACUAACUUCCUUCUCUGAGUCCAAUGAAAGAAGUAGAGAACUUCCAUUCUAAUUUGAUGAAUCAUAUUGAUACAUUUCCUAGUGCCAAGUGUCUUGUCUGCCUAACACAAAUCCAACCUGAACAAUUUUUACAAGAUCAGCGAUUAUUUUGGACCAACCUAGUGGCCAAAACUUUGUUGUACAAUUUGGUAUUGUUGUUGAGCAACAAAAUAAAAUUAGUAAAUUUAUUUAGAUCCUUACCUGGCUUGGGAAGAGUCACAAUCUGGGCGCACCAUGCUUCACUGGACAUCCCAUCUUUAUUCCAAUACAAAUUAAAUAGCACAGACAAGUGUGGAGUCAAAAUACUCAAACAAGUCGUAUAGUAGUGCUUGUUAAAACCAUCGGAGCCCAGCACCUUACCAGCAGGAGUAUUUUUAAUUGCCUUCAACACUUCAUCCUGGGUUAUAGCUAAAUCUAAACUUUUAGAUUUAUCUUGAAUAAUUUUUGAUAGUUGCAUUUUAUUUAGAAAAUAUCUAAUUGUGUUUAAAUUAGGUUGAGUGAUGUUUGGGUCCAAAUUCAGAUUGUACUCUGAAAUUAUAUUGCUAAUAUUGGUUGGAUGUACUAUCUUUCUACCGCUCAAUCCUAGACUGUGCCAUCUAAUGUCACAAUUUGGAGGCAAGCCUUGCUGAGGCUUUAUUACCUUUAGAGUAGAAUAUUUGCUUUAAAUGUUUCAACAUCAAGCUUGAACGACCCAAUUGUAUAGUGUUACUUUGCUGCUUGAUGUCCUAUAUUAUAGCCAGUAGUGAGGGGGAUUGGCCAAAGUUAUUUGCCAUAUUUAAGUUGUAUAAUCUCUUUUCAAAGAUUUAACAUUUUUAGAUUUAGUUUUUUUUCAAGUAGGUUGCCCAUUGAAUAAAAUUACCUUUCAUAACAGAUUUGUGAGCGGUCCAAACUGUUGAGCCAGGUCCGGAUCCAAUUUCUCUUUAAAGUAACUAGUGAGGGUAGUUUCAACUAGUAAUUUAUUUUCCAGUUUUAAAACGUAAUUGUCACUUAAUCAACACAGACUGUCUGGAGUCAGUGAGAUGACUCAGAGACAUGUAACAUCACCUGGGCAUGGUCAGACCAAUUAAUGUCCAAUAUUUCAGAUCUUAAUACAUAAUGCAAAGUUGCCUCACCAUCCAAAAAUCUAUCAAUACGUGAGUACAUGUUAUCCUAUACCAAAUGAUAGGAAGAAACAGUCUCUCUCACUACAUCCAAUUCGUGAUCCAUCACGGCAUUUAGGAGGCAUAGGAAAGAGAGGAGGUAAAGCAAAUCGUAUAGUAGUUACAAAUAUAUUGCAACAUACACAUAUAUAUACACACACAUAUGACACAUCUUAGGCAACAAAAACUAGAAAACACAGAGGAAAAAAAAGUGAGGGAACAGUAGUAAACCAUUAUCACAAAAAAAAGUUCAAAUAUGAAUGUUCCCUUAAAAUUCACCCAGCAAUAAUCCUGCAUCUUCAUUAAAAAAAAGAAAAUCUUAGCAAAAAACGCUGAAGUUCAGUAUGACAGGACAUCAUGCCUUAAAAUCCAAUGAAGAAAAAUGAAGAAAAAAGGCAUUAAUCAAUAAUCCCAGUAGGUCUUGAGUCCAUAGUCAGAGUUAGUCCUAAAGCAUGAACAUAGCAGAAACGGAAAAUUAACUAUAUUAAUAAUCUAAUCUAAUAUUUAAAAAUAAUUGAAAAUAAAAUAACUAUUGUAGAACUCUGGGAAAUAAUAUACAUAUAAUAUUUUGGUUGUUAAUUUCCAGGUACGUGUCUUUUUUCUAAUUUUCUUGAAAUCCUCGGUGGUAAGGGUUCUCCAUUGUUUAAAGCUGUUAAAAAAUCUUCUUCUUCUGGCGUGUUUAUGGUGUAGUUCUAGCCUUCAUAUAUGAAUACAAUUUGUAUGGGAAAUCCCCAUCUAUAUUUGAUUUGUUUGUUUUAAAGUCCCUUAAGCAAAAUUUUGAAUUCACGUCUGUGCAUUAGUGUCUCACUUGACUGGUCUUCAAAAAUUUUCAAGUGCUUGAAUUUGUUUGGUAAUUCAAAUCCUAUUCUUAGUUUGAUCAUAACAUUUUUUUUGAUGUGAAUUUUUUUGUCUGGCAAUUGUGUCUCUGGUGCUGAGUUAGGUUUUAAAAUCAUAUGACAUCUGUCAAUGAUUCCUGUUUCACUUAUGUUUAGUACAACCAAAUGUAUGGCACCUUUUACAUAGUCAGAUAGUUCAUUUGGUUUAAUGGAUUUAGGUAUGUUGAGAAUUCGUAUAUUAUUUCUUCUACUCCUAUCUUCUAAAUCUGCAAAUUGUAAAUUUUCUAAUUGGAGUUGUGAUUCUUACAUUCACACACAGGAAAUAGGUGAUGACUGGUCAUUCACAUAACCUCUAAUUUGCGUUCAAUUCGGUCUGUCCAAAUAUACAACGCCGCUAUGUGAUUUUUUUAUUCCGGUUUUACGGGUGCCUAGAUCAUUACAGAUCUUCUAAUGAUUUUGUCGGAGAAGGAUUAGCUGUACUUGUGUCAGUGUGUGCAUAUGUGUAUCUGCAUGUAUGUUAGUGUUUGUAUAUGUGUGUCUGUGUAUAUGUGUGUGCCAGUGUGUGUUUAUGUGUGUUGGUGUAUCUGUAUGUGUGUCACUGUUUUUAUAUAUGUGUCUGUCUGUCUGUCUGUCUGCAUAAGUGUCAGUGUGUGUAUCUGUGUGUCUGUGUAUCUGUAGAUGUGUUAACGUGUCUGUUUAUCUGGAUGUGGUAAGUGUAUGUAUAUGUGUGUGUCGAUGUGUGUCAGUAUGUAUAACUGUGUGUCUGUAUCUGCAUGUAUGUAUGUAUGUAUGUAUAUUAAUAUGUGUGACAGUAUAUAUGUAUAUGUGUAUACAUCUCAGCAUUCAAAUGCCAAAACUACAUACAAAUGCACACCAGCACUUAAACGCCAACACUACAUAUAAACACACUCCUACAUUCACUCACACAUAGUCCAUGCAAAAAUAUGCAUACAAUCAAACAAACUUACACUGCUCAGUGCUAAAUACAAACCUGCAGGGAUGGGCAAAUAUUAGAUCACAAGCUGGCAAAGCAUUAUGUGAGUUGUAUGGGAGAUGGAGAUCUAAUUUUUGUCUGCCCUUGCAAAAGAAGCGCCGAUCUUCCACCAGGGCCCUCUCCACGUUUAUUCUGCCACUGAUCCCAUAAGUUGUCUGUAACAAAGGAGUAUUAACAUAUACAGUAAUGGCAAGUUGUUGCUAGACUUGAUAAAGUAAAGUUUAUUACGAAAUGUGUAGUUUGUGAGUGUCUGGAGAUUGUCUCUGCUUGCAUCAGCACUGUGUAACACAAUGAAGCAUUUAGAUUCCAUUUUAAAAAGGGAGGGGGGGACACAACGUUGCAUAAUUUAACUUUUCCAAGUGGCUAGCGGUCCUUCCUUAUUAAGAACAAAUUGUUAGGUUUCUCAUGUGUUUCAUUUCCUAAAUACUUGUUUGAUUUUUUGCUCUCUCUGAUUUAUUUUAAAGUAGUAACAAAACAAAUCAAUGAAAUAUAUUCACAAUGAUCAUAUUUUUAUCUUACAGGAAUGAGAAAUCUGAUUUUUAGAAUUGAGGUUCUAUGAUGCCUGAUCAAGAUGAAAAAGGGAAAAAAAAUGACAAGACACGUGAUAACAAAAUCCAAGGAACUACAGCAAGGUUUGUUAGUUUCCUGUUAAUUCAUAGAUGUGUGUCUGCAUGGGAUCUUAAAGUGUGGUGUAAUAACUUGGACCGUGUUGCAACUGAGACAAAAAAUGGACCCAGACAUUUAUAUGCAGAGUAACACACUAGGAGAGGGAGGGGCUAGAAAUGUCUGCCCCCUCCUUCUCCCAUUAGAGUGAGCAUGAGAAUUCGGUGUAUUUUCAGGGCAACCCAUGUGCAGAGCCCUACUGAAUUGCUGUUGCAUAGGUAAAAUACCCCUUUUUUGAAAGCACAUUUAAUGAAAUGUAAUGUUUCCUGGUGAUUUUAUUCCUGUAUCCCAAUAGGUAGGACACCAGAGGACAAAAACAGGACACGGCAGUAACAGACUGUCAUACUGUGUUUCUUGGAGACUUGACUCUGUAGUCCCCAUAAGUUGAUGAUGAUGUUGUGCUGCAGCAAUUUGAUAAUGCAGUGGAAUUAAUUUUUUUUUUUUUUUUUACUCUUUAUUUUAUUUGGGCAUAGGUUAAACAAGCAAGUUUGCUUUACCACAACAACUGGAGCAAACAUAGUAGUAUACAUAGUAAAACAUCUUUGUGGUAUUGAGAACACUGCACAUUUUUAUAUAACUAUUCAAGUUGAAACAAGAGAAGAUAUAGUUCAUGUGAAAGAAAACGUUAGCUCAGUGCGUGAGUAAGUUGUAUGUACUAAUUUAGCUUGUGAGUAAUAAACAUAAAAAUUGACUAAAUUAACACAGUGCUAGGCUUGUCAACGAAACACUAGUAACUCGUAGAGCAUGCUUCCCCAAACUCCGGCCCUCCAGAUGUUGCUAAACUACAAAUCCCAUGAUUCUAUGAAUGAAAUAGAUAGGCUGAGAAUCAAGGGACUUGUAGUUCAGCAACAUCUGGAGGGCCGGAGUUUGGAGAAGCCUGUUGUAAAGGCUUAUGCACUGAGAGUGAGUUAAAAGAAGUUAAGUAGCUUUAGUAACAUGCUGAAAUAUAUGUCACCCAGCGGAUCCCGCACCAAAGUGAUAGCUAUGAAAUACACAUUUCUUAAGGAGUAGGAUGCUAAUGGGAAUGCAUAGUGAGAAUUAUAAAGUAAUACUAAACAAGUUAGCAAUAAACAUAGAAUGUUAAUCAUAGGCUUGGUAGUGAGUGAAAGAGAGUCAGCGUAAGUGGCUCUGCACAGUCCCACUGUGUUUCUGUUGCUGGUGCAUACCACAGCCCCAGCCAAGGCCAGAGCAGCAUCCAGAUGAUGUAGAGGAAGAGUCUGGCUGAGGGCACUGGUCCCAUCCACGGCGCACUGGCCUCCCUGACGACUGCAAGAUGUGGGAUACUAGGUGGGUCAUGCAGUGUAGAACAGAAGUAAUAGGUCGCGCUACAGGAAAAAUAAUUGCAAAUGGAAAAGGAUAAAUAUAAUGUAUUCACAUACACUAACAAACAUAAAUGAAAAGAAGUAUAUAGAUAAUAGUCCAAAUACUUGGUAUACUUCCUAUGAGUUCCAAUGGGUAUAUAAAGACUUGAAUGAAUGGUAGUCUCAAUACUUUAUGUGUUUCUUACGAGUUCCAAUAGGUAUAUGAAGACGUUGAUGAAUGGUGUAUCCAAUAGGAGACUGGAUCCUCUAAUAUUGGGGGAGUCUUGACAGUACACCAAAAGAUACAGAUCGGAAGCGGGAGUCCUGUACAGUUUUUGCACUGUAAAAGUUUUGUUUCCCUUUUUCCUCCCAUUCCGUAUUCCCACCUCCCCACUCCCUUCCAGUUUACUUUAUUACUUUGCCUUGUUUUGUCUUGCGUUAGGGUGUGUGUGUGACCCAAGGUGUGGUUUUGUGAGUUACGUAGGGUAGUGAGGUAUAACUGUGUGACUCGCAGGUCUCUGCGUUCCAAAUGUGUAUGCGGAUCUACAGCGUGCUGUGUGUGUAGGUUGAGAGGGGGUCUAGAUGCUAGACGAUAGGGCGGUUCGUGUGGGACACGUUUUACGUCCAAGUUCGUCGCGGUUUGCUGCUUUUAUUCACCCCGGUAAACAUUGCAAUAGAUAUUUCUGGGGUAGAGAUGGGAUCGUCUCUGUUCUUCUAUUUCUAUGUUUAUCACCGAGUCAAGACUCCCCCAAUAUUAGAGGAUCCAGUCUCCUAUUGGAUACACCAUUCAUCAAAGUCUUCAUAUACCUAUUGGAACUCGUAAGAAACACAUAAAGUAUUGAGACUACCAUUCAUUCAAGUCUUUAUAUACCCAUUGGAACUCAUAGGAAGUAUACCAAGUAUUUGGACUAUUAUCUAUAUACUUCUUUUCAUUUAUGUUUGUUAGUGUAUGUGAGUACAUUAUAUUUAUCCUUUUCCAUUUGUAAUUAUUUUUCCUGUAGCGCGACCUAUUACUUCUGUUUUGCCAUUUCUUCCUUGAGGAUUUUAGAGGGAACCUCAUAUUUAUAGGUUGCAGCUUUCCACCUGUCUUUAGCCCCCAUUAGAUCAUGCAGCGCUGAUCCUUUAUCUACUUGGGUCAUGCAGUGUGGCAGCAAUACUUGGAUGUCUCUGACAACGCAUCCCUAUUUGGGCUAGCUCCCGGACCGGAGCCGUGUGUUGGAACCCUGCUGGUAGGUUGUGCGAUGGGUGGUCAAUCCGCUCCCAACUCACAAUUAGGCCGAGGUGCUGUAUCAAAUAGUUCCAAGAGCCCACAGAGACCUAGGCAGGCAAGGGGAAAUCAGCAUGCUCCUUGUUGUUGUUCUGACAUGCAGCAUCCGCCAUUUUGGUGAGGCUUCUCUGCCACUCGAGUUGCUUUCAGCAGCUCUGGGUUGUUAGUAGCACUGGGGCCCCCCAAGGUGAGGACCGGGAUCACCUCCGCCGCUCCUAACAGGGUGCGGGGGGCCAGCAUGGUGUGGGACCGAGGAGCUGAUCUGCUGCAAUUGGGGAGGAUAGCAAGGCGGCGGCCGUCCACCCCACUCACUGCCAGAAUAGGCCUCAGCCACGUGGAUCAAGGAUCUCCCUCGCAGAGACCAAAAGGCUAUUUGCAAGCUUAUCCUCUGAACCAGUACUGCUCUGCAACGUGGACCGCAAUUUCCAGGUGUUACAUAGGCAAGUUAAUCACUGUGGUGAGCUUAAUAAUUAAAAGACUGCAGGAGCUGCUUGUUCUUGCAUCCUCACAGCAUGGUGGUCCGGCCAGGUUACCCCCCGCCUCUUCUGCCCACCCCCUGGAAUUAAGUUUUUUACUUACCUUUGCUGCUUUUUUUUUUUUUUUUGGCAAAUCUUUUUUAUUGUUUGACAGGACGAAAUUACAUAGUUGCGUUAUUACAAUAUUUUAGACAUUGUACAGUACACCAAAAGAUACAGAUCGGAAGCGGGAGUCCUGUACAGUUUUUGCACUGUAAAAGUUUUGUUUCCCUUUUUCCUCCCAUUCCGUAUUCCCACCUCCCCACUCCCUUCCAGUUUACUUUAUUACUUUGCCUUGUUUUGUCUUGCGUUAGGGUGUGUGUGUGACCCAAGGUGUGGUUUUGUGAGUUACGUAGGGUAGUGAGGUAUAACUGUGAGACUCGCAGGUCUCUGCGUUCCAAAUGUGUAUGCGGAUCUACAGCGUGCUGUGUGUGUAGGUUGAGAGGGGGUCUAGAUGCUAGACGAUAGGGCGGUUCGUGUGGGACACGUUUUACGUCCAAGUUCGUCGCGGUUUGCUGCUUUUAUUCACCCCGGUAAACAUUGCAAUAGAUAUUUCUGGGGUAGAGAUGGGAUCGUCUCUGUUCUUCUAUUUCUAUGUUUAUCACCGAGUCAAGACUCCCCCAAUAUUAGAGGAUCCAGUCUCCUAUUGGAUACACCAUUCAUCAAAGUCUUCAUAUACCUAUUGGAACUCGUAAGAAACACAUAAAGUAUUGAGACUACCAUUCAUUCAAGUCUUUAUAUACCCAUUGGAACUCAUAGGAAGUAUACCAAGUAUUUGGACUAUUAUCUAUAUACUUCUUUUCAUUUAUGUUUGUUAGUGUAUGUGAGUACAUUAUAUUUAUCCUUUUCCAUUUGUAAUUAUUUUUCCUGUAGCGCGACCUAUUACUUCUGUUUUGCCAUUUCUUCCUUGAGGAUUUUAGAGGGAACCUCAUAUUUAUAGGUUGCAGCUUUCCACCUGUCUUUAGCCCCCAUUAGAUCAUGCAGCGCUGAUCCUUUAUCUACUUGGGUCAUGCAGUGUGGCAGCAAUACUUGGAUGUCUCUGACAACGCAUCCCUAUUUGGGCUAGCUCCCGGACCGGAGCCGUGUGUUGGAACCCUGCUGGUAGGUUGUGCGAUGGGUGGUCAAUCCGCUCCCAACUCACAAUUAGGCCGAGGUGCUGUAUCAAAUAGUUCCAAGAGCCCACAGAGACCUAGGCAGGCAAGGGGAAAUCAGCAUGCUCCUUGUUGUUGUUCUGACAUGCAGCAUCCGCCAUUUUUGUGAGGCUUCUCUGCCACUCGAGUUGCUUUCAGCAGCUCUGGGUUGUUAGUAGCACUGGGGCCCCCCAAGGUGAGGACCGGGAUCACCUCCGCUGCUCCUAACAGGGUGCGGGGGGCCAGCAUGGUGUGGGACCGAGGAGCUGAUCUGCUGCAAUUGGGGAGGAUAGCAAGGCGGCGGCCGUCCACCCCACUCACUGCCAGAAUAGGCCUCAGCCACGUGGAUCAAGGAUCUCCCUCGCAGAGACCAAAAGGCUAUUUGCAAGCUUAUCCUCUGAACCAGUACUGCUCUGCAACGUGGACCGCAAUUUCCAGGUGUUACAUAGGCAAGUUAAUCACUGUGGUGAGCUUAAUAAUUAAAAGACUGCAGGAGCUGCUUGUUCUUGCAUCCUCACAGCAUGGUGGUCCGGCCAGGUUACCCCCCCGCCUCUUCUGCCCACCCCCUGGAAUUAAGUUUUUUACUUACCUUUGCUGCUUUUUUUUUUUUUUUUGGCAAAUCUUUUUUAUUGUUUGACAGGACGAAAUUACAUAGUUGCGUUAUUACAAUAUUUUAGACAUUGUACAGUACACCAAAAGAUACAGAUCGGAAGCGGGAGUCCUGUACAGUUUUUGCACUGUAAAAGUUUUGUUUCCCUUUUUCCUCCCAUUCCGUAUUCCCACCUCCCCACUCCCUUCCAGUUUACUUUAUUACUUUGCCUUGUUUUGUCUUGCGUUAGGGUGUGUGUGUGACCCAAGGUGUGGUUUUGUGAGUUACGUAGGGUAGUGAGGUAUAACUGUGAGACUCGCAGGUCUCUGCGUUCCAAAUGUGUAUGCGGAUCUACAGCGUGCUGUGUGUGUAGGUUGAGAGGGGGUCUAGAUGCUAGACGAUAGGGCGGUUCAUGUGGGACAAGUUUUACGUCCAAGUUCGUCGCGGUUUGCUGCUUUUAUUCACCCCGGUAAACAUUGCAAUAGAUAUUUCUGGGGUAGAGAUGGGAGGAACUUUCACUUCUAGAUGAUAGUUCAUUUUUAACUUGGUUAUUCACUAAAGUGAAAAUUCAAAGUGAAUUGCACAUUUUAGGUCGAACUAGAAAAAUUCAGCUAUGCUUCCAGUUUAGUUGCUUUGGCCUUAAAUUUGAAAUUCACUUUGAAUUUUCACUUUAGUAAAUAACCCUGUUAGUGUCUCCAGAGGUACUUCUGGAGGUGAUUAUGGGAAAAUAUGUUUCUGUAAAACAUAUUUUAGUCUUAAAUUAUGACUGCCAUUAUCGUCUCCUGAAAUAUUUGACUUUUAUAUAAGAUUCGUAUGUUACGUAGUUUAAAUGACUGUAGCACAGACAAACGCUUGAGAGCUAACAAUGACAAAAACCUGGCAAAUGGAAAAAAGUUAUUUUUUAAUCAGAUAAUCUAAUUUUCAUAUUUCUAAGAAAUAAUUUAAUUGGAUUGGAAAAAAGUAGACUAAUAAAUUAUUGUGUACCAAUAUGUUAACCUGUUUAAAUCUCGGCAAUUUAAAUUAACUAAAUAGUGCAUAUGUUUGCAUUUUAGGAAAAACUUUGAUGUUAAAAAACUUUGGUCUCUUUUACAUGUCCAGGGAAACAAACAUGAGGUAAGAUUUAGUGUGGUACUGAUUCAUUUGAUUUUUUUUUUUUCAAAACUAAUAUUGCAUACAAAUUUAGAGCCUAAAAUUUUUCGUUCAAUAUUUGUAACAAAAUUACAUGGUUUUAUAUGUAUUUACUUUUAAUCCCUUCAUUAUAAAUAUUAGAAAUCCUUUCUAUAUAUUCCAACUAAGUCUUUAAACAAGGUUAACAUUCUUUUCAUAUCCAAAACAAAUACAAAAUACACUCAAUUCAUUUUUUGUUUAGAGGAUGCAUUCCUGGCUGGUAUUUGUACAAGGUUGCCAAGACAGCAGCCUGUGGGACUUCACGAAGAUGUAUAUGUGUUCUUUGUAAUUCACAAUGAGAUUCUUACUCAUUAAGACCAGGUGAUUCAAGUGAAAUGCCUACCAUAUUGAUGGUGUUUAUAAUUUGUGCAAUUAGGACUGGGGGUAUCUGUAACGGAGAGAGAAUUUGUAGUAAAGAAAAGUACAUAGUGGAUUAGGAGAAUUGAGCUGUAAUCGAGUGGGAAGGGUUUGAGGUGGAGAAGGACUCGAUGGUUCUCUCUGUGUAAGCUGUUCCCUUUUUGAAGAAAAAAAAGUCUUCUUACAUAAUAACAUUUAGUCUAGAACCAUCCCUGGGUGUAAUACUUUACCUGCAGUCAUGAUAGUUUUCUAAGUUCCACCUGAUGUUUGUAGCGACUGUAAAUUGCAAUGUGUGGUUUCAGAGCCUUUAUUGGAAUAUGAGUGUUAAGAAAAUUAUCUCUGAAAUAUUGAAUGAGAUAUUCAACCACUAAUAAAGUAGUCAUAGUUCUACAAUAGCCAGUGGUCUACCUAUUGUCUAACCUUGAAAUGUCACUUGUGCAUUAAUUACGUAUUUUUCUGGAAUCUACUGUCAACUGCUGGUGAUUCAUUUGUCAGGAGUCUAUGUUGCUGCUGUACGUUUCAGGGCAAGAGUACAAAACAGAGGUCUGUGGAAGAUUCCACAUGAGGUACCAUCCAUAAGACAAAGAACUAACAAUGUUUAUAGUAGGCAUGUGCAUGGGGAAAAUAUUCGGCUCAGUUCGGCAUUCCGAAAUUCGGGACCUCGUCAAUUCGGCACUUUGGCAAUUCGGCACUUCGACACUUCGGAACUUCGGCACUUGAACACUUCGGCACUUCAGAACUUCGGCACUUCAGAACUUCGCCACUUCGGAACUUUGCCACUUCGGAACUUCGACAUCUUCUGCACUUCGGAUCUUAGACACUUCGGAACUUUGGCACUUUGCAACUUCGGAACUUCGGCAGCUUCGGAACUUUGGCAACUUCGGAACUCCGGCAUUUCGGGACUUUUCUUGCAGCCGCUUGGUAGAUAACUCCCUAAUUCCCACGGUAUUAGGGAGUUAUCUACCAAAAGGCUGAAAGACCUGAGCGGUGGGUGGGGGCCCUAAACAAGAAUAAGGGGGGGACCUAAUGUCCUCCCCCCGGGCCCCCACCCCUGAGUGGCGGGUGCGGGCCCUAAAUAAAAAUUAGGAGGGACACCUAUUGUCCUCUCCCCUGGCCCCCACUCCUGAGUGGUGGGUGGGGGUCCCAAACAAGAAUAAGGGGGGACCUAAUGUCCUCCCCCCUGGCCCCCACCCCUGAGCGGUGGGUGGGGGCCCCAAACAAGAAUAAGGGGGGGACCUAAUGUCCUCCCCCCCCGGCCCCCACCCCUGAGCGGUGGGUCGGGGCCCUAAAUACAAAUUGGGGGGGGACCUAAUGUCCUCCACCCUGGCCCCCACCCCUGAGUGGUGGGUGGGGGCCCAAAAUGAAAAUUUGACCCCACUCCCCCCCAGGUGACAGGGGUUCCCAAACCCCUAGUCACCCCCUUACCAUAAAAAUAACCCCCUACCUGCCCCCCUCACCCUAAAAAUAAUGAGGGGGGACCUUUAACUAAGUACCUGUAAAAAUAAACAUAAACUUACCAUUUGAUGUUUUCUUUCUUCUAAAAUCUUAUUUUUUCAGCCCCAAAAAAGGCCAAAUAAAAAUCCAUAAUAACCGAAUCAAAAAAAAAAAAAAAAAUAAGCGCAAAAAAAAAAAAUCCAUCUUCACCCAUGGAGGGCUCCGCGCAGACUGAGCUCUGCAGAGCAGGGGAAGGCUUAUAAAGCCUUGCCCCACCCUGCAAUUAGGCUCAGAUCACUCUGAUUGGUGGGUUUAAGCCAUCCAAUCAGAGUGCUCUUACAGGUAAAUGAAGAGACUGACAGGUAAGUCUCUACAUUUACCUGUCACAGCACUCUGAUUGGUUGGUUUGAAAUACACCAAUCAGAGUGUUCUGUGUCAUUUUACACAGCGUGGGAGAGUUCUUUGGAAUUUUCCCACGCUGUGUAAUUUAACUCAUAACUCUCUGAUUGGUGGAUUAAGUAUAGCGAGUAGGGGCAUAGCGGUAUAGCGAGUAGGGGCAUAAUUUACUAAUACUAGGUAAUCUUUACUUAGUAUUAGUAAAUUUGGCUGAAAGACCAAUUUAGGUCUUUCAGCCUUUUAGUAGAUAGCUCCCUAAUACCGUGGGAAUUAGGGAGUUAUCUACUUAUUCAUUCCUGUCAUUACAUGACUGGCUAAGUAACUUACAUUUUAUAUGAAUGUAUGUUACUUGAUUGUUGUAAGUGUUGCAAAUGCUUACAGCUGAAUCCUGUCUAUGUUUGCAUACUUUUUAUUUGAAAUUAUAUACAGUGUAACAUUCUUCUUCUUUCACUGGGUAAGUAUAUUAGUAAUUCUGUGCUUCAGAACUUUAGUACUUUGACACCUCGGAACUUCGGCAACUUCGGAAAUUCGGCACUUCAGCAAUUCGGCACUUCGGAAAUUCGGUAAUUACGGCACUUCGGGACUUCGGCAAUUCAGCACUUCGGCACUUCGGCACUUCAGCAAUUCAGCUAUUCGGACAUUCGGAAGCACCCGAAUGUCCGACUUACCCGAAAUUCGGCCGAAUUUUAUUGCACAUGUCUAGUUUAUAGAGGCACUCACUUGAUUUCUAGGUGCUGGGGGUUGAAGGGCUCUUUCCCACAAGACCCAAUGAAGCAGUAAAAUAUAUAAUGACUUUGCGCUCCAUUUAUUCAGUGUGAUUAUUAUUCAACCAAACAUCCAACUGAAUGGAUCUGGCAAUGUUUCAGAACCUAGUGCACUAAGGUUCCAAAAAAAUUGGUAUGUCCUUACUUUGACUUAUGAUUUUUUUUGAUUAGCUUGAAAUUCCAAUGCAGUCAAUAGCAAUGUUUCAUGAAGAUUCAUGAAGAUUUUUAAGAUAUUAACAUGGUUUGAGCAUGUCUAAUUUUGAAUUGCAUUGUGACUCUAAAGACUUCUAUUUUGCAAAUUUUUGUUAACUCUUUUUAUGAAGAAAAAUACUUAGGAGGGACAACAUUUUAUUAAUUUAAGUCUGGCUACGGGAACUGUGCUAAUAAUUUACGUGUCUCAAGAAAAAAAUUAAUUCUAUUGAUCAUAUUUUGUUUAUUUUUUGAUGGUUUUUAAUUUAGCUUUGUUUUAAUUUAAUUUUAAUUGUUUGAUUUUGGUAAUAAUGCUUAUAUAUAUACUUAAAAUAAACCUUUUUUUAAUGAUCUAUUUCUGAUAUAACGUGGUUAUUCACAAUAACAUUGAAUUGGAAUGAUUCUUUAAAUCAGCUAUAUUACCAUCUCAGCAAUCUGGACUGUUUAAAGCUUAGUAGCUAACCUGAUACAAUUUCAGUUUGCUGAGUGGUAAGAGAUUAAGGGGAGAUAUAGAAUGUACUCUGUGAAGGGAGGAUAUUGUGGGGAAACAUAAGUAAAUGCUAUAGAACAAGAAAUGGAAUGCAACCAUUUAACUUUUUUCACUCUGAAUCAAAAUAAUUAUAAAAAUGUGAUAAUAUACAUAAAAUGUGGAUUUUUAUUUAAAUUCACAGCUUACUAAUACCCAAAAUAAAAAAUACACAAACAUGCCUUUAGCAGUAAUUCUCACAAAAAAUACCUAAAUCUGCCUUUUGGCAUAUUUACUUCACUUAUGAAAAAAAAGCACGAAGUAAUGGAAUUUAUAUGAGAACUGGCAUCUUUCAUUCCCCCUUGGUUUUAGUUGUAUAAUUCUGAGGUAUUUUUCUCCCUUUUCAAAUGUAUUUUGUUAAAAAGUAAAACUUAGCCAAGCCUCCCCUUUUCACAUAGUGUGUUCCCCUCACUGGCCUCUGCCUCUCUGCUAGUACUCAGCUACUGAGAGUAGUAUGAGUUGAGCUUGUAUGAAGAAGACAACCAGGGAGAGACAUGAUGAGAAUUGCUUCCAUAUGUAUGUCUGUCUGUAUGUAUGUCUGUUUUGGCUGUCUGGUAUUUUUUAAUUUGACAAUUUGUAUUUUGCAAUUCUGAAAAGAAAAAUAAAUUGGGGGGGCGGAGCUAAGCAGACAAAUGCCCCACUAGCUCCCGCUGCUUCUUGCUAAUGCCUCAACUUUGGGUAGCUUUACACACUGGGCAGAGACAUACGGGAUGGCCAGAAGCUCCAACACACCAAGGGGAAAGUCUCGGGGGCCCAGUGAAGGGCAAACCAGAGAUAUAGGCCUGCUGCUUACUCAGCCGAGUAGGCCCAAGGUGGCAGAUCACAGGCCAGGCUUGUUUCAGGGCUCGCUUACGGCCUCGGACGAAGAGGACCUUGAUCUCUUGGAAGUUCCAUUCCCACCCCUCAAACGCCGGGGACAGGGCCAGUGACAGCCUGAACCCUCACUGGCCUCAAAGUCAGACCGUGCAACCAUGGUCUAAGACCUAAAGUCCUUCACCUCUGAAAUAGGAGUGCUUUGGGAGGACCUGGACAUGCUGACAGGCCGAAUCAAGACCACAGAAGAAUAUAUCCAUGACCUAAGACUCCAUCAAGACACCUCUACAACACAAAUAAAUAACGACAACUCUACCUGUGAGAACCUCAGUGACAGAAUCGGGCAACUAGCGUUUGACUGUACAACUUAUAGGUACUGGGGACACUAUCAAUCCGGCUGAGCUGCCAUAAUUUAUCCAAAGACUGUUCUCCACAGCUUUAACGUAAAGGGACUUCAACUUGAGGGACUUUUUCGCCUUCCUGGCAAGUCACACUCUAAGUCCCAGACACCAAGAGAUGUCAUCAUGUGCUUUAGGUCUCGCGGUGACAUUUUCUAACCUUUUUCCAAGAUCUAAACCGACCGACCCUAAAGUGGCGUGCGACGCUGAAGGAAGUGACAUCUCGCCUGCAAGCAGCAUCUAUCUCCUACAAAUGGGGAUACCCCAGGGCUCUCGUAGCCGAAAAGGAAGGCCGGAGAUUCAAGUUUCAUCCAGUGCUAUAAUAUAGGUGCUCUGUAGGAGGGUAAUCUAUAGGGAGAGACUGUCUUCUGCAGAGCAGGAAUCCAGUUUAGGACUCUGAAGAGUAAUGCAGGUUAUAACCUUAUAUAUGUUUUUUGCCUCCUUGGGGAAUGCAUCUUAUUUGAGGCAAAACUUUAAACCAUUUAAUUUCAGGCUAUGUGUGCUAAUAUUUAUUGCAAUUGUGUCCUGUUGCAACCAUUGUGUAUUAAAACCUUGCAACAUGGAAAUAUGCACCAGGUGUAUUAUGACGGUCAGUGGAGACAUCUCUGGUAAGAGAAGGAAAUGGGACAUUUAGUUUGACAUUGAUCUAAAGGUUGAUCUUAUGAAGAAGUGGAAUGUAGCCAUUGAUCUUUUGCAGGUAUUCAGUUUGUAAAAGCUGUUUGUGUACAGGGCUAUAGGGCUUUCAUUGCUCCAGAUCUGCAAUAGACUGAUUUUGGUAGUGCUGAAGUAAUGAUUCUCUUGGAGGCUCAUUGUUUCUCUCACCCAGCUUCCAAAUUGGAAACUGAUUAAGAUCUGUAGAGAAAUAACAGACUGAUGAGCUGCUAUUUUAAAGAAAUUCAAGAAAUCAAAAAAGGUAUUUAUAUUUAAAUGUUAACAAAACUGUUUAGACAACUGCAAAGUAGUGAUGAAAGAGUAACAGAUGCACGUAUUCUCUAAAUCUGUCAUAUUUAGCAUAGAGAGUCCUUUUAUCAGGUAUUUGUGAAAUGUUCUCAAUACAUUAUCUAUAACCACACAAAAAACAAGUAAUGCUUAUUGUAUUACCAUUAUUAAUCAUGUAUUAAUCAUUAAAAUUAAUUAUGUAUUACUUAUGUAUGAAUAAUGCUUAUUUUUACGUGUUUUAAAUAUAAAACACUGUAACUAUUUCAUUGUUUAUGCUCCUUAUAAUAUGCCUAAAACAUUAGAGAAAUCUCAAAACAAAACCGCGAUUGCCUCUCUCCCUACUCCAACUCGCUCAGGCGGCAGGUGGUUUAGGCCUCCCGAAAUUGGUUACCUACUGAGGCCGCCAUUCUUGAAUACGCUAUACGGCUCCAUGCUCCCAGACAUCCGUUCCAAUGGGUUAACAUUGAACAGGACAAAAUACUUCCACACUCCAUGAUGAACACAAUGUGGUCUCCAAAAUUAUUCCGAACGUAAGGGCUCUUGCUCUACCCCACCACUACACUAACAAUAAAACUUUGGGACAAACUACAUGCCACCAUGUCUGAGAAAGGAAAAUUCUGCACACAUGCUCCCCUGGGGGCAUUGGAAGGAGUGUCACCGUGGCUGUCACUGAAACCUUGGAUUACCUACGGCAUCAACCAUAUUAAAGAUCUCUGCUCUCAAGCGAAGAUCUUAGCCUUCCCUGAUUUACAGAGAAAAUACCGGCUACCUAACUCUCUUAUUUUCCAGUACCUACAAUUGAAAAGCAUACUACACACUAAAGUGACCCUACAGUCCCAAACAACAACGGCACAAGCGAAUUCCGCAUUAUCACUUAUCGAAAGAUGUCAUUCUGCUCCUACUAAACCCUAUCCCUUUGCUAUAAAACUCUCUUGGAUAAUACACUGCCUCGUUCCUUCAAAUACGUGACCCAAUGGGAAAAGGAAGGAAUGCCCAAACUCAUGGAUGAACAGUGGCUCCAGUCACUUAAUGCUCUUAAAGGUCUUACGUCCUGCUUUUCACAUGUGGAAGCUCACAAAAAGGUAGUAUACCAUUGGUAUCUUACCCCACAACGGCUUCAUCAAAUAUACCCUGCUGUAGACCCUAAAUGCUGGAGAUGUAACUCCCAAAAAGGCACCAUGACCCACAUUUGGUGGGAAUGUAGCGAGAUUAAGCCUCUAUGGAUACAAGUACAAAAGAUACUAAAUAAAACAAUAUCUCACUCACUACCUCUCACAUUGUCAGUGGCACUUCUGAUGCUACUCCCAACUACAUGGAAGAGGGAAGCUAAAAAACUGGCCUCGCUUGUCAUACUGGCAGCGAGAAACCUCCUCACUCAACAUUGGAAAAGCACCUACUGCCCCUCAAACAAGGAACUGAUAGAUAAGAUAUACCAAUACUACAGAUAUGAGGUGCUUUCCUCUGACUCAUAUGAGAAAACGAGACAGAUGGAACGUCUGUGGAAAUCAUGGCUUGCCCUAAUGGGCCACCCAAAGCCCUAAGACAUACUGGUGAAUCGAAGACCGUUCCCCUUAUGAGAAAAUAAGAAUGGGUAUGACACCACACUCACCUCGAACUUGAAUAUCAGGGCACCGGCUGAGCACAAAAAUGUUGCUAGCUGAGGAUGACUUAGACAGAAUACCAUACACACAUACUACAUAAAGCGCACCGACCAAACCUCCCCUACCCCCGAUCUCCUUUCCCUGACAACGCACAAAUGGCACAAGAGCUGGUGGCAAAUAUAGUACAGGUCCAAACCUAUUCCAUCAUUCUUACCAUACUCUCCUGAGACACUGGGUUGGAGGCGGAAUUGUCACAUAAUACUCCAACACAAGGGCUAUGUCCCUGGAAACCCGUACACUCUUAGAGAGGUGCGACGCAUCAACCCCACCAAAUAGUCAAUAUGUAUCAAUGCUUGUAAUCUAACGAAGGUUUAACGUAACAUAGAGUCAUACAUAGGACCACUGUUGUCUGACAGUUGGACCUGUUGAGCCCGACAUGUAAGAGCGCAUAACUAAAAGAUGUUGUUAUCUAAUGCUGUGUAAAUGUGUAUCCAACAUUUCAGCUCAUGCCAUGUACUUGGAACUAACAGAUGUAUUGGUCAUGUCUUCCCCUUCCCUUUUUGAAUUCUGUAUCCCAAUUUACUUUUUCUGAAAAUAAAUAAAAACUUUAAAUAUGAAAAAAACAUUAGAGAAAUCUCAACAUAUUCUUCUUGAUUAAACACUUUCUUGAUAAAAAAAAUAUAGCUAGUUACCGGUAUGUGUUCAUUUAUUUAGCUAUCUAUUAUACUAUUUUGUUUGCAACAAAAUUAUUUACUAAUUUGGCUUACAUUUUAAAUUCCAGGUCACAAAUCUCAGAAAUUGGCCAGGCUCAAGAUGCUUCUAUACAUUUUAUCUAUAUAAAAUUUCUUGGCAACAAGCAUCUGCUUGUAUGAGCAGGCAAAAAACACUUCUAUAUGCUUAUGAUUAGACACAAGACAACUCUUUUGGUCAGUCCAUAUGGACUUUGGGAAAGCUUUGUAAUCAUAUACUGUAAUUAUUGCCAUAAUAUUAUAUACAUAUAUUAUUAUUUUAUAAUUAUUGUAUCUUUGUGUUAAAUGAGAAAAUGUGUUUUGGAAUGCGUAUUGUUUUUUAUUGACAGCUUCCAGCCUUAAAAGUCAACAGUUCUCCCAAAACUCAGUCGAAGUUAGGAAAAACGAAUGAACUCAAAAGCCGAAGUCAAUGGCAGGAAUCAACCGAAGCUGUUGAACUUGAAAAAUUCAG
This is a non-coding RNA of Pelobates cultripes (western spadefoot toad), 23182 nucleotides long. NCBI's taxonomy places the organism in Eukaryota, Metazoa, Chordata, Amphibia, Anura, Pelobatidae. The record is from the annotation of a GenBank genome assembly.